This 4381-nucleotide long non-coding RNA is filed under the name Macaca fascicularis (crab-eating macaque). RNAcentral's name for it is "lncRNA (ENSMFAG00000055482.1)". The record is from RNAcentral. Lineage: Eukaryota; Metazoa; Chordata; Mammalia; Primates; Cercopithecidae.
AAAAUGGGCUCAUUCAGUGGGCCAUUCACCAUUCCCAAAUCAUGCCUUAUACUUUUGUGCCUCUGGGCUUUUGAAUAUCUUAGCCCUACAUUCCCCAUUAAUAGUAACAUUGAACAUUCUUACUUUAAGAUAGACUAUUCUUACAAAGCUUCCAGACUCCUCCAGGCAGAGCCAAUACCUACAUCAUACUCCUUGAUCAUACGAUAGUAGAAUUACUCCUAUGUCCACUCCUCCUUCCCACCACUCACGAACUCCAAAACUUAAGGCACUGUACCUUCUUCAAACAGCUUCUUAUCUUAGCACAUUGCUUGGCUAACAGUGUUACAUCCAUGGUAGUUUGAAUGGAGAUAGAAAAAAAAUAACAGCAACUAAACAUCUGGUUCUAAAGGAUAUUAAAGAACUCUCCAGUUGUUUAUAAGACUUACUCAUUUAAGCUACUGCAUGAACAUCUAAUUUAAAAGGCCGUCAAGGCAGGAAGUCUUGAAAUUUCCAUUAGUAACACUUCUGUAUCAAAUAGUCCUUAAAAGUUUUCUUUUACAAAGAAAAUUCUCAUAAAAUUCUACAAAAAGGGUGCUCAAAUUGCCAAAAUACGAGCUUCAUACUACCUAUUAAGGGUCCUCUAAAAAGCAUGAUAAUCUAAUUAAGAAAACAUGUUUUACCAGACAUUCUCAAUGUGUCCAUCUUAAACUGAUUUAAUGAUUAGAUAGCAGUAUUCUUGCUGGUUUUCUUUUUCUUUUCCUCUAAACUCAAAUAAUUCCUUCAUGUAUUUUGUUUCCUAUUUGUUCCUGAUACUUUAUUAUAGUUUAUGGCCUUCAGUAUGGAUUAGAUCCCCAAGUGCAAUAUACAAAACUUUUUGAUUAUCCUAAACGCCCCUAAAUCUCCAAGGAAUCUGCAAAUUUCUCUUUCUACUAAUAAGAAAGAUGGCAAAAUUCUCUACAUUCCCCAUAAACAGGUAUCAUACUUGAUAACCGAGACUUCCCCAAAUGUCCUUGCUUCAUGGGUCUGAAGACCUAUUACUACUUGCACAGCAGUGGAGUUCCUUCAUUUUGUAAACGUGUACUUAAAUACUCUUUAGCACAUCCAGUAAAUUCUGAAGAACUCCAAGACGUCUCUGGCAGAUGAGGCAGGAAACCUAUGGGAAAGCAUUUGGAGAAGCUCUAUAACGUGAAGUAACAGGAAAGAGUGAGGAAGAUGCCGCAAAUUCUGGGAAACUAUAUGAACUCUUGAAAGCAGUGGGAACAUAAGUAGAUAAAUUACACUUUUGGGAGGUAGGAGUUGAGAGUGAAGUAGAAGGCUAUGAAAAAAGUUCCAGAGUCCCAGAGGGGUAAAUGUUGAAGUGAAAUGAAAUAAAUCAGAAUACCCUGACUUCUAUACCUCACAGUUUUGAAAGGCUUCAUCAUCUAUGAACAGAUCUUUUAUAAGGUUAGGUCUACAACUUUUCAACAGAUAAAAACAGCUGAUCACCAUCUUAAAUAUGAACCUGUAAAACAGUGUCCAUUUAAAAAUAUUCUAUUUCUUCCAAGUAUAGAGAAAACAAAUAUGUGUGAAAAUAUACACGUUAUUUCAUAAUAAUUAAUUUUAUCAAAUCAGGAGCAUAUUAGCUUUGCAUUACAAACUGACUCUCCAGAGUUAGAUUUAUAUUAACAUAUUCAAUAAUACAUAUUGAGCAUUAUAUUGGUUAUAUGCAAGAUGGGAUUACAAAAAAUGAGUACAGACUCUUGUCCUCAAGAAGCUCACACUCUAGUAAAGGAUUGGGCACUUUUGGUUUUAGACACGUGUGUUCAAUUUUUAACAAUAUUUAGACCACCAUUUUCCAGUAUUUUCCUUGGAACACCAAUCCUAGUAAAAGGGUAGAUUGAGUUAGAAAAGAGAAUAUACCCAGAGGAUAACAUAGGAGGACAUUAAAGGCACUGAGAAGUCUUGUAGUAAAGAACUUUAACUUUGCUUAACCUGACAUUUCUCAAAGUUACGGAACUGCAUUUUUUUCUUUUUUUUAAACCCAACAACUAUAAACAGAUCAUGGCACAUUUUGAGAAAUACUGGUUUAGACAUGCAAUUUAAAAGAUGCAUUUUUAAAUGUUUCCAAAGGCACUGAAACACAAACUUUUAACACCUUUCACAUUUUUGGAAUACAAAAGAACAAGUUAGUAAAUUAUUGGGAAAGUAUUGUGAAAUAAUUUGAGGCAUGGGGUUAAGGGAUACGGAGGGAAUAACAAAUAGAAUAGCUUUCUAAAACCACAGACAACUAUCUAUAACUGUAAGUUAUGCUUUAUAAAGACUAAAAAUAGCCCUAACAUUUUUGAAACAGAUGACAUAUAUAAUUUUAUUAAAAUCUGUUUUAUCUGAAUAUAUGUUGAGGCUGCUUAAAAAAAAAAUCUUAAUCUGAGAUAAAUUUUACUUCUAUUUUUAAUUACAUGUAGAGGCAAGACAUUAUAUGCUCCGUAUUCCAUUUGUUAGCAUUAUCUUUCUAUCCUUUUUUCUUUAUUUUCUGAUACAGGGCCUUGCUUUGUCAUCCAAGUUGGAGUGCAGUGGUGCCAUCACAGCUCACCAUAGCCCUGAACUCGUAGCUCAAGCAAUCCUCCUGCUUCAGUCUCCAGAGUAGCUGGGACUACAGCUGCGAGCCACCAGGAAUGGCUGAUUUUUCUGUAGAGAUCGGGGUCUUGCUUUGUUGCUCAGGCUGGUUUUGAAUUCCUGGCCUCAAUCAAUCCUCCUACCUCAGUCUCCCCAAGUUUGGGAUUACAGGGAUGAGCCAUUAUGCCUGGCCCUUUCUGUCCUUUCCUGAAUUUUAAGUUUGUACCUACUCUUCUCUCUUGAUGCUAGCUAAUGGAAAUCUGAUAUUUACAUACUUCUAAUUGCUGUUUUCUUAAAAAAACAAACAAACAGCAAUAUCAAAAGGGGAAAAUGUUCCCUCUUCCCUAUAGCUGAAGAAAAGCAAAUAGAAUUCUAUUCUAUAUCAUAAAACUGGGUUUAAAAAUAUUAUUUCAAGUAAAAUAGUCUUCCCAGAUACCUGGAUUUCAGUGUUGCUAUAUUCUGUGAAAAAUAAUGUAAGUUUAAAGUCUGUAAUUCUGAUUAGUUGUCUGAUUGAUUUGUUGUCUUGUUAAUAAUAUUUAAAACAACAUUCUGAUUCCUGAAAGUUGCCUUUGCAAAUUUAUUUGUUAAACUGAGAAAAAAAGAUUCAUGGCACAACCCCUUUCUUGCAAAGGUCACACACGUAUUUUACUAUGUAUUAUUUCUUAUUGAAAGAGUUAAGUCUUGUUUAAAUUAGUAAUUCGUGCUAUGACUAAAACAAAACACUGUAUAAUACUGAAGAGGGAACUGGCAGCUUGGAGAAAAAAACCAAAUUGGCUUCGAGACAUGCAGUCUGUUCUUAAGACAAAGCAGUAAAAAAUUUUGCUUUCUCCAUAUUCUUCCUAGAUGGCAGAAAGUGCUGUCCUCACCUGAGAUGAUACUUUAACUUCCGAAAAGUCAUAAAUGACUGAUGCUCCUUAAGCUUUUGGGUAGUUCUUGAUUGUAGACAAUUGUAAAAACAAUAAAGAUUCCUCGCUUCUGGAGGAGCUAAAAUAUCUACUCCUUAGUCUCCUCUGCUGUGGAUAUUACAAAAUACUGUUAUUGUUACUAAACUAAGGCUGUGGUGAUUUCUUCAUGUUUUUAUUUUUAAUUUUAUUCUUAGUAGAGACAAGGUCUUGCUAUGUUGCUCAGGCUGGUCUCAAACUCCUGGGUUCAAGAGCCUACCAAAGUGCUAGGAUUAUACCGACGUAGGCAUGAGCCACUCUGCCUGGCCCAUGUGGUGACUUCUUUACAGGCACUGUUGCUCUUAUAUUUAUUAACUGAUUUCUACUGCUAACUCAUUCACUUGUUACUAUUAAGAUCAGGUCACAAACUAAACAGAGAAUUAGCGUGAUAAAUAAAAUCAUCCGUCCUGGGAGCUCUCUGUAAAUAUGCAGGUUAAUAUCAUAUAUGUGUUGUUCAUAAGUUUUAGUGAUUAUGUGUACUUUUUGUAGGAUGGGUAGAAAACAUAACAUAUUUGAAAGCUGAAACAAUGAGUAUUGGCAAAAGUCUUCAUUGUUACAUUUGGAAUAGCAUUUCGCCUAUUUAUAGUAACUAGGGAAUACACUUUAUAAGACAGAUUGUAAAAGUAGUUUAUAACUCCUUGAGAUUUUGUAAAGCAUUUGCUACCUCUCCAUCUAGAAACAAUAGGGAAAGUAUAACACCAAGAUGGGAUUCUAAAGACACUGAAGUGGCCAGGCACACUGUUCAUUUUUCUUAAGAAAUCUUCAGCAGCAAGGAUUGGAUUUUGCAGGUUCAUGAGUGGAAGACAGAGCCUGAAACUUACUUGCAGGGGCCUUUUUCAAGCCCUCCUGAGUACCUGUCAGGUACAAAG